GACAGAGGGUGCAAGCGUUGUUCGGAAUCAUUGGGCGUAAAGGGCGCGUAGGCGGUUAUAUAAGUCGGAUGUGAAAGCCCACAGCUUAACUGUGGAAGUGCAUCCGAAACUGUAUGACUCGAGUCUCGGAGAGGGUGGUGGAAUUCCCAGUGUAGAGGUGAAAUUCGUAGAUAUUGGGAGGAACACCGGUGGCGAAGGCGACCACCUGGCUGAAGACUGACGCUGAGGCGCGAAAGCGUGGGGAUCAAACAGG
RNAcentral lists this ribosomal RNA (253 nucleotides) under uncultured bacterium. Its description in RNAcentral is "partial 16S ribosomal RNA". It matches the Rfam family "Bacterial small subunit ribosomal RNA", at positions 524 to 776 of the family's 1533-position model. The record is from RNAcentral.